GGAAUCUUGGACAAUGGGGGCAACCCUGAUCCAGCCAUGCCGCGUGGGUGAAGAAGGCCCUAGGGUUGUAAAGCCCUUUCGCCGGUGAAGAUAAUGACGGUAACCGGUAAAGAAGCCCCGGCUAACUUCGUGCCAGCAGCCGCGGUAAUACGAAGGGGGCUAGCGUUGUUCGGAAUCACUGGGCGUAAAGCGCACGUAGGCGGAUUGGCCAGUCAGGGGUGAAAGCCCGGAGCUCAACUCCGGAAUAGCCCUUGAUACUGCUUGUCUUGAGACCGGGAGAGGAGAGUGGAAUUCCCAGUGUAGAGGUGAAAUUCGUAGAUAUUGGGAAGAACACCAGUGGCGAAGGCGGCUCUCUGGCCCGGUUCUGACGCUGAGGUGCGAAAGCGUGGGGAGCAAA
Molecule: ribosomal RNA, 397 nt
Filed under: uncultured bacterium
Lineage: Bacteria
Description: bacterial SSU rRNA
Rfam family: Bacterial small subunit ribosomal RNA
Source: RNAcentral